GUGGGCGUAAUUCAAUGGUAGAAUAACGAUUUCAGUCCUUCUCUCUCGUUUGAAAUUGUUAUGUAGGUUCAACUCCUGCCACUCACA
RNAcentral lists this transfer RNA (87 nucleotides) under Lactiplantibacillus pentosus. RNAcentral describes it as "tRNA-OTHER". It matches the Rfam family "tRNA". From Rfam's summary of the family: Transfer RNA (tRNA) molecules are approximately 80 nucleotides in length. RNAcentral also lists the same sequence under 2 other names. The record is from RNAcentral. Lineage: Bacteria; Bacillati; Bacillota; Bacilli; Lactobacillales; Lactobacillaceae.